This 789-nucleotide ribosomal RNA is filed under the name Macrobiotus gretae. Its description in RNAcentral is "SSU rRNA". It matches the Rfam family "Eukaryotic small subunit ribosomal RNA", at positions 97 to 886 of the family's 1831-position model. The record is from RNAcentral. Lineage: Eukaryota; Metazoa; Tardigrada; Eutardigrada; Parachela; Macrobiotidae.
UUUACUAAAUCAGUUAUGGUUCACUAGAUCGUAAAUUUUACACGGAUAACUGUGGUAAUUCUAGAGCUAAUACGUGCAACCAGCUCGCUUCCUUGUGGAGCGAGCGCAGUUAUUAGAACAAGACCAAUCCGGCCUUCGGGUCGGUACAAUUGGUGACUCUGAAUAACCGAAGCGGAGCGCAUGGUCUCGUACCGGCGCCAGAUCUUUCAAGUGUCUGACUUAUCAGCUUGUUGUUAGGUUAUGUUCCUAACAAGGCUUCAACGGGUAACGGGGUAUCAGGGUCCGAUACCGGAGAGGGAGCCUGAGAAACGGCUACCACAUCCAAGGAAGGCAGCAGGCGCGCAAAUUACCCACUCCUAGCACAGGGAGGUAGUGACGAAAAAUAACGAUGCGAGGGCUUAUAGCUUCUCGUAAUCGGAAUGGGUACACUUUAAAUCCUUUAACGAGGAUCUAUUGGAGGGCAAGUCUGGUGCCAGCAGCCGCGGUAAUUCCAGCUCCAAUAGCGUAUAUUAAAGUUGCUGCGGUUAAAAAGCUCGUAGUUGGAUCUGGGCUUCUGAAUGGAUGGUGCGCUUUACGGUGCUACUGUCCGUUUGGUGCCACAAGCCGGCCAUGUAGUGCAUGCUCUUCAUUGAGUGUGCAUUGCGACCGGAACGUUUACUUUGAAAAAAUUAGAGUGCUCAAAGCAGGCGUACGGCCUUGCAUAAUGGUGCAUGGAAUAAUGGAAUAGGACCUCGGUUCUAUUUUGUUGGUUUUCGGAACUCGAGGUAAUGAUUAAUAGGAACAGACGGG